AAUGCUGAGAGGUGUUUGUUUGAAGAACUGGCUUCAGACAAGCUUUGGUCAUCUCCAAAUGUGCCUUUGUCCAUGCUGCUUUUUCCUACUUUCCUUUCAGGCAGAUGAAACCAUAUUUCUGAUAAAAGGAGUGGCUGCUGCUAGAGGUUGGGGUGUAUCCUGUGUUUGCUGUGAAUUGUGCAUUCUUUCGCAUCCAGCACUGUAGGAGCGUGGGCCUCUCUUUGACGCUGUGCUGGAUGUUACCAGCUUCUGAGUGCUUGGCCAAAGCCAUUCCCAAACCUCCAGGCCCUUGGCCAAGCCUGGCGGCAUAGCUAUGCCGGGGGAUACUCCCAUGUAAAACUCAUUAAAAAGUGAGAUGUGAAGAGCGCACCUAAGCUACGCUGAAGUCAGCGGGCCCUUGGCUUGAGCUACUGGCAGGGUCAAGGUCUGAACAGCUCAAAGAGAAGGGAAGGGAGAAGAAAGAGGUACAAAAAUACCGGCAUGUGAUUACUCAUGGGCAUAGGUGCAGGUUUAACUCGUGGACAUUCGUUUUAUCUAUGAGUUUGCUUAGAUUUUAGCUCCCAGGCUUUGUUUUAGAAACUGGGGGAUUCUUGUGCGCGGUGUUAUCUCACUGGCAUAGGAGCACCUUCUGCUGAGAAGCUGCUUUGAAGAAGCAAUUAGAAAGACUGAUCUGAAUGAGAAGAGAUUGAAGCAGAGGCAUUCUAAGAGGACAAAGAGCUGUGAAAGUGCACAAAUAUGUAACAGAGGAAUCAGCGUCUAACAACAAAAUACAUUUUUGUGUCAUGCUCUCCCUUUCUAUCUCAAGACAAAUUUUAAUCUUAUUUUUUUACUGAUACAGUUUGAUUUUCUUGAUAUAGUCUUAGGCAGCUGUAACUGAGAAUAAAUUAGAUCUUGGUUUGCUAACAGGGGCCCUGACCAAGGGAGCAGUUGAGCACACACUUAGCAUGAAGUACAGGAGUUGUUCCCCCACAUCAGUGGUGCUAUGCCUGGGCUUUAAGCUCAGCAUCUUUUCACGUAUUUGGAGUGUACAGUUCACAAGAGCUGGUCUCUAACCUCCUCCCUUUUCCCACUUUUGUACAUCAAACCUUCAGAUAUUUUCAUGUGAAAACAAGAAGGGUUGCAAAGGGAAGUAUUACCACUUUUCUACCUUCCUCUGAGAAAAACUGGCCUCCAGCCUGUGAGGUGAGUCUCAGUUUCGGACAACUCCUUUGCUUACCCCCGUCCCCAUAGCUCUGCAUGAGCAUGGUUAUGCCUGCAAGGGAGGGAAUUAGAGCAAGGUGUCUGUGGGAAGACUGUGCCUCCCUGCACUGCACAGCGGAUGGGAUGGAAGGACUGGAUUUUAAUUUAAACACUUAAUUUUGAGGGAAGUAAUAAAGCAGAAUAGAAAGUGAAGAUGUAUGUGCCCAAGAAACCUUCUGAAAUGUCUCCUAUUUUUAGAAUGCUUUGCAAAUGCUUUUCAUGCAAAUGUAUACGCACGUAUACAUACUUAUGUAUAUCACUGUUAUGUAAAUCAGAGCUGGUUUCUUAUUGACUGUGUUAAGAAGCUUUGAAAAGGCUGUGACAUUUCCUUUUCUGCAAAGGAGUUUUUGUUUUUAAAGAAAUAAUUGAACCCGUGUGUCAUAAAGGUGUUUGGAAGCAGCCAGGCUCUGAUAGCUGUAUUCAUGCUGAAUGCGAUCUCAUUGAGCGAGCGGUCCGCUGCAGUGCUGCGCUGAAUGCUGAUCAACUUCCAGUUGCUCUCUCAGACCUCAUGCCUGCUUAUGGCAGCCAGCAGAGCUCCACCCAAAGUGUUUACAGGUGACAGCUUGCAGAGCCACCUCCCUGAGGUGCAUUGCAGAGCUGGAGAGCCCGAGGAGCAAGGCAGGCUUUGCAGAUGGUCUCACUGAACAUUCCCCUGCAAACAGGGCACCAGAGGGGAUGGAAGAGAGACGUAACAGAAACUUGCUCUGUCUCCCCACACUGCCAAAAAGCAAAGAUCUGGCCCGUGGAGCCACAGGACAGCCAUCACUUGUGGUGCACAGUCACACCAAGCCUCAUGCCCUUUCUGUGUGUGAUGCUGCAGCCGCAUCUCCAGUGAUGGCACUGGGUGGGGUCUGGAGCAUCCGUGCACAGGGAGCCCAGCACCCAACUUGCUGGGGUGCCUUUGGAGGGAAAAUUCCAUUCUCCAAACCACCAUGUGGGCCUCCAUCCUGCUGGCAAGCUGUCAGGAGAUGACUAUUGCGGACCUCUUUGGUGCAAAACCUCUUAUAAAGUCAUCAAAGCCCAGCGGGAAGCCAAGAAUUCCUGAGGCUGGAUUGCAUCCCAGAGUGUCCAGUAAGCAAAGAUGUACAUUACGUGUAUGCCUAAAAUGGAAACGUGAGCUGGUGCUUACUUCUACAUCUUCAAAGGCAGCAGCCACCAGAUCCUCUCUGGAGCCCAAAUGCUGGUCCCUGCCCACGGCCCUCGGUGCCGGCUGGGAUCAAAGGUGAGCACCAGGUCCCAGGCCACCGGCACGGGAGCAUCUGUGGAGCAGCAGCCAGAUGGGAAGAGCUGCAAAUAGAAGGAGCGGCUCCACCGCAUCUGUAUGACGAUGAAAACAUGCAGCAGUCGGAAAACAUCUUGGCAAAUCUGAUUUUCUUUCUGGAAGUGGAAGGAUGUUUCUUAGUAGCAGCUUCUGCCCAUGUCCGUCAGCUGCUUUAUGUGACUUUCCUUUUCACUUUCAGCUGUCUGUUCUGAAUGCCAAAGGAAAUGAAAAGGGAUUAUUUUACACCCAAGUCGUAUAUCCCUUAAGAAAGGGAGCACCCUGCUGUGCCAGCUAGUGGUUUCUAUACAGUGGCAAGACAUAGAAAACAGACACUGACUUUUCAAAGUAAAACUCUCCAGGGAGUUACUGCUCUCCCUGAGGAAAUACCAUUUACUGUGCACCAACUCCAUUUGUUCGAGGGACACUUUUAGCAUGUUUCCCAGAUUUUAAUGCAGUUCAGGUUGUCACAGCACAGGAAGGUAGGAGCUGCCUUUGGUGAGUAUGAACAACGGGCUCAAAGACUGGGUUUUGUGGUUAUGAGGAUUGUUUACUUAGGAAGAUCAAUGAAUGAGCAGGCAGUGUGGACCAGUGAGGUAAGUGAGGCAGAGCAGUGGUGUCCUCUCACCACCGCCGUCUCUCCUGAUGUACUCAGACAGGAGGCAGGAGGGACAAUCAUUGGCAUGCUGGAAUUCCACUGGGAUUUCAGCCCUGAGCUCCAGCCAAAGAGGUGAAACCAAGCUGUUUCCAUGUCAUCUGCAUUUGCUGAGUAUUCAUCCCUCCUGCUCAUAAAGGAAAACAAAAAAAAAAAAAAAAAGGAAAAGAGAAGAAAGAAAGCCUCACACUUUCUGUGGCAUCUCAAGCUGGGGGGAAAGGCCAAGAUAAAUGGAUACUUUCAAGGUCAUUAGCUUGUGGAGCUCAGUUUGUAUCGCCCUGCCAAAGCUCUGCUUGGAGAGGUUAUAAAUGUAUUUCGACAGGAGCAGGGAGCUCAUUGUUGGAGUUUGGAUCCUCUGCUUGGCUGACAGUGAAAAAUCCCAGUUCUGAUGAAGCAGCCCCCCUCCCGCUUGGAAGAUCUUUUGUCUAUUCAUCUGCAGCAGAGAACACAAUGAAUUAGAUGUGCAAUCGAAGAUAUCACAAUGCCUUGCCAGUAUGGAUGCCACCAUCAGAAAUGCCUCUGGGAAGCUGACCUUCCCGGCGGCCUACCAUAAGGAACGCAAAGGCAAGCCUUGUUUGCUGUCCUAGGAAAUUACCUUGAAAUGAUGACCAGCCCUCUCCAUCUCACCAGCCAGCAUCCCUACGGGCUGUGGUGGAGGGACAGAGGAAGGGACAGAGCCAGAAAUGCAGGGUGUUGGGCAAGGCACUGCUCCUCUCCCCGGCAGACACUGGUGCCACCCCAUGCCAAAGCAUGGCAUGUGGGUGUUUCACAGAGUGCCUGAUGAUGUGUGAGUGAGCAGCUGAGCUGGCUACCACCCUGCUUUACUGUCCACAUUUCUUCUGCCUUUUCUGACUACUUUGCCACCCAGCAGCGAUGCUGGGCUCAGAAUGGCUGCACUGAAGGGCACGCAGUGUGUCACUUUGUCAUCCACAUGUAUACCUGGAGCUCUCAGUCAGGGUCAGCAUCCUUCAGCCUCCUUGACCUGCCCGAAGGCUGUAUAUCAUGCUAUGUGAGACCCAUGUAAAGUCUUCCUUCAAAACCAAGAUUUCUCAAUUUCUCCAGAUGCAGGCUGGUUUUGCUUGGCACAUGGAUGCUGCUCCCGGCGUUAUGGGCUCCACAGGUGCCAAGGGACUCAGAAGUACUGCAGAUAAAUUGCUAUUUAGGGUCAAUGCCACAGGCUGAAAUGGAUAGAAAAUUCCAUCUAUUUGGUGCACAGUCAAGCCAGAUGUUUUAUAGCCUCUGGUGGAAUAUCAGUAGACGUAUUUCACAGCAGUAAAGGUCAAAGAUGGACUCUAAAAUAAGUGGAGCCAGCAUUUUUGAUGGCUCUCAGAUUAGAGGAAUAUUUACUGGCAGAGAAUAUCUGCAGAACAAGAACAUCUCAGUCAAGAGCUGGAGAAGACUUUCAGCAACAGCCAGCACCUCUCAGAGCCUGCCAGGUCUCCCUGAACCUUGAGCAAAAAUGGAGGGCCCACAGUGCCUCCCUGGCACAGGAGGACUUCUCUCUCUCCUUCCAGGGCACGAAAGGCAUCUGAGCUGAGUCCCUUUCCCCCUUGACUGCACCCAGCUGAAGUGAGUUCCUUGGGAAGUGAUUUCUGCUCAUCAUUUCCAGGCUGUGAAACUGAAGUACAGGAAACCUGGGAGCUGCAGCUUCUGGGGUCUCCAUGGCCCCUCCUUCCCACAGCCCACCGAGCCUGCAAGGCCUGCACCUGCCUGGGUGCUGUGGGGAGAUGCCUUCCAGGCUCUUUCUCCUACCACCUCCAGAAGCAAAGCCCCAAGGGUCUCCCAGAAGUGGCUGCUCUAUAGCAAUGCCUCAGCAUAGAGCAACUAGCAUUUAUUCCCACUUAUUCACAGCAGGCUUUGCAGGACAGUCAGAGAGAUCUGAGAUUUAACUGCCACAGGUCCAUUUGGCUACAGAACUUACCCCCAGGAUAAUCUUCUCUGUAUGUUUUAGUUAAUAUAAGAACUAUCCCCAAGCCUAUAUAGAGUAAGAGCUGCAAUAAUACAAUUUGAGAGUGGACAGGGCAUGAAUUAGUGGUGCUCCUUCAGAGGUAUUUCUUAAAUGGCACACAGGAAUACUUAGAACAGAUGUUAUAUUGCUUUUAGAGAACAAAAAUGGGUCAGACUUUACAGCGAAGUCUCUAACCAUUGCGUAGUCUCUGCUGUCCUAUAUUUCUCAGGAUGGAACCAUGAAGCACUCACUCUCCUGAUCCAGCUGUCUGAAGCAACCCUGGUGUGCAGGAGGGACAUAUCCCUCUAGGAACCAUGGGCAGGUGGGGUGGCAAGUUGUGCCUGGGCCUGGGCAUCUCUGCCUUUGUUAGUGGUGGGGAGGUGGGGAGGAGGUUGGGAGGCAGCCAUGGGGCUCUCUAAGGUUGGCCCAGCAGCCCGGCCAGUGGGAGCAUGAGAGGUCGUGCCUGUUCGCUGGUGUCCUGGGACAACCUGGGGACUGAACCAUGUCAAGCUAAUAAUUUGCUGUUACAGAAGAUCUUCCUGAAAAAGCAACCUCCCUUUGUAUGACUUUUGUUGGAAAAUGAGGUUUCCCUGUGUAGCAAUGGUUAAAAGACAUACUCAUGCUCCAUGUAACUGCAUCUCUGUGCUGACCAUAGGCAGCCAAAUUGCAUCACAGGGCUUGCUGAUACCCGUGGAAGCCUCACCAAUCUAUGUGCUUUAAAUAAACUGACCUAAAAUGUCCUAGUAGCAAGACAUCCAGCCAGAAAAAGGCCAAAGAGUAGCAGAAAGCUUACCAUGGCAGGCAACAAUGCAAAAUAACUCAGCCAUUCAAAACCAUUCAUUGUUCACGUCAGCCCUUGAUUAAUAGGCGCUUAAAUUAAGUUUUGUUUGUUUGUUUGUUUGUUCUGGGAUUAGCUGCUUUGCUUGGAAGGAACACAAGCCCCCCACAAGGUAAAGAGGGGUGACGCAGGCUUCUGGCUCUCCUGUACUCUCACCUGCCUGAGAAGUGAAGGAGUCUUGUGGGGCUGUGACUGCCAGGAUAGCUGUUCUUUGGUGAGUGACAAUGCAGUGGACGGAAGGCCUUGGGACUUCCCCUGAUCCUUCAGAACCAGUCCUCGGAGGUAAUGCCAGGCUCUGAGUGCUUUGCUGGAACAAAAGUUGGACGCGCUUCCCAUUGCGGUGAGGGGAACAGAAAUUAAACUUCAUGAACUUGAACAAAAGACAAAUCACUGGGAGGGGAGAGGAGAGGGAAAGGGAGUGAAACUACAGACAAUUAGUACUGUACAGGCUCUGAUAGAUCAUUAAUGAGGGAUAAUAUCCAAUUAAGGAGGAGGAUGGAAAAUCUGGGGAAUGCCUGUACAUAUUCCAGUAAAUUGCUCACAGAUCCUCCCUAUUCCCCUCUCCAUCUCUGAUGAUCAUCUAAAUGGGAAGAAAAUGUUGGAGUGAAAUAGAGUUGAUGGAAAUAUCUGGAGCCCCCAGGCAGGUGGCUGUCUUCCCGGAUGUCCUGGGAGCACGGCCCCGGUCACAUGCCUCAUCAGAAAUGCACGAACUGAAGGGUGCGCGAGAGGCAGCCUGGAAGGCUCUGGCAAUGAUUUAACUCAAUUAUAGUCUGUGGGAGGGCUCAGCUUCACAUCAUGAGGCAAACACAGGGUGAGUAACUGAUAUAAGACCGAACGGCACUUUCCUUGUGCCUUUUGUCUUUAGAGUGGCAGGAGGUGGAUAAUAUUCCUGCAUUGGCAUGGCAAGGCUGGAGCUCGGGAGACUGUGGUAAAGCAUUAAGGCUUUUUUGUUGUCAGAAAGGUCAUCAGCAACUUGGAAAUGCAGAUUUCCUUCUAACAGGAAGCCUCUUUUUUAAACUUUCUACCCAUCUCAGCGUUUCUUUAAAUGGAACUGUUAGUCCUGUUGAUGUGACCUAAAUCAGCAAUGUCCUGCAUAGGAAAGAGAAAUAAUUCACAGUCCCCAGUGUCUCAGAAACACUUGUUUGGAUUGACAGAGCAAAGAUCUGUUUCCAGAGAGCCUCCUAUAAAAAUAGCUGGUAGCAAUUUUCAGAACUUCUGAAUUGUCUGGUUUUGGUGUUUUUGUGGGCUUUUUUUUUUUUUUAUAAUAUCUUUUAUUUUUAAGCUAAAACAAAACAAAGCAAAGCAAACAAACAACAACAAACAAAAAACAAAUAAAAACCCAAACUUUAAUUUUGUCAGCAGUAUUGUUUUCUAUCUAGCACCUAUGUCCUUUUAUUUUUUUAUUUAGCACCUUUCUUCAAGUGAUUCUCAAAGCAGCAUUGGGAGUAAAACUAAGUCAAUUUGUUUCAGUCGAUGCACCUGAUGUAUGUCAGGAGAGCUGGAGGAAAUUCUGAGACUUUUCAGGAAUUCUGUAGUCUUUUCCAAACACCAGUAAGUCCCUUUUCCUCUCAAGCUCUAAGACUAAAUUCUGUCUCCACUGUUGCAGUAAGGAACAGGGACAAUUACAUGCCUGCAUUUACAAAUGGUUUCUAAACAGCAUAAUCACUGAGCUCCCAAAGGUCUGAAAGAUGGGGCUUCGCUUGCUCUCUCCAUUGCUUCUUUCCACCACAGAAUUACAUAUAAUAUACAUAUCCCUUUCACAGUGUUUACAACUGGUGGUUAUUGUACCUGCAGAAGUUACAGAUCCCGUUUUUCCCAGGACAGUGCUGUUGGUGUGCGCAAAGGCACAAUACAGGCAAGAUUAAUAUCAGCUUCUGCUUUGCCAUUCCAAGCCCCUGCUAAGUGUAAAUAAUAUUUUAGCAAAGAUCUUGAUGCAUCAUGAUCUAUUGUGUUGCAGUGAUGAUGCUGCUUGUUAUGUCUUUAGCAGUGAUUUAUCAUCCUCUGCAAUGACACAAAUCACGGAUGGCUCAUGACACUCCAGGAUGUAUGAUCUCUUAGUGGUGGCAGUGAUGAAUUCUGCGCUUAGAUCAUAACAUUUUGAAACCUGGGAUGUGGAGCUGAUCCUUUGCUUUUUUCUUUUAAAAGGUACCUAAAGCAAUAAAAUCCUCUCUUUGUUAACAAUACGUCGAGGAGCACAUCUCUCCCUUUCACGAUAGCUUGUUAUGGUUCAUUCUAGCUAAGCCUCAAAUGGUUAUCAGGCAACUCUGGAUUACUCAUUCCUUUUGCUUUUCCCUCUACUAUCUUCUAACCUUUAAUGUCCUCCUCCUGCAUUCUGGUCCCAGGGACAUAUUUUGAAAUUCUGCUGCAUGUAUAAUGAGUAUAAAAUGUUCCUCUCGGAGCUGGAGAAAGCUCAGAUGUUUGGGUACAGUAGGCCCGUUCCGACACAACAAGCCUACGCUCAAGCUGUGAUCCCAACAGAGAAGAAAGCUCUUCAGGUCUGAGCUGCUCUCCUCCAGUGAGCUGCAGCCCUGCCGGCUCCGCUCCCAGGAAGUGGAAGCACUUGCUCUUGUUUAUUUUUAUCUGAAACAUCUCAGGUAAGAGAGGAUGGAAUGGGGAGGGGGAGUGUCAGAGCCUCAUUCUUCACUGCUGGGUCCCUCCUGCUGUCAGGACAGGGUGCUUCUACCUUGGGAAAUUCAUAAAUUAUGGGAAGAUUUCCGAUUUGGGGAUUUUAGCAAUGAAAAAAGAGAUGUUAAUGUCAAAGGAAAAAAAAAAAAAAAGUAAAAAAGAAAUUCCCUAGCGAUAAGACAGGGUCAAGUGGUUCCCUCCAUGGUGACCCCCACAGGUACUGGCACCCCGGGCUCAGGCCGCAGCCCAGUGGAGGUGGUGAUAGGUCCUGGUCAGCCAUCCUCCAUGGGGAUGACAGCGAUCAAGUGGGGCCUAGCGCACCUCUGGGGACACCUGGGUUUGCCCCAAUCCCCCAUCUUCAUUGUCACUGCCUGCAGGCUCUGAGGAGGCUCGUCACCACUUGAUGGAGCACAAGAGGUGAGCGAGGAGAGCUGAGGAAUCCUCAUGGGAUGCUGGGCUGGCUGGCUGUCCUGGCCUGGGCCCCAGCAUGGCUUCCAGGGAGCCCAUUAAUAACCCAGAUCCUGCUCAUGGGGAUGGGACGCCUCAGGAUGCCCUAUCACUUGGUGCCAGCCCCCUCGGUUGCAGCUGCUGCCCACCAGCAGGGGCCUGGGCAGCCGCCAGCCUUACAGGUGCUCUGCCAGCCAGCGGUGCCCUGCCAGCCAAGAAGUCCUUGGUGGAUGGAUCCACACCAGCACCGUCCAUGUUACAGGGCAGAGGCAGCCUCUCAGCAUUGUGGCACUGCCACCACAGCAGCUAGGGCAAGGGACAGUGCAGGACACCAGUGCAGCAACUCAAGGCAACAUCUCCUCAGGUGUGCCCAGAGGACUGAGGUGCUGUGCCCCAACCUGUCUCUGCAGGACAUGACCAGCCUGGCCACUUCAAGGCUGUAGCGUGCUUGGAGUUGGCUGCAUGUGGCUGAUGGUCCAUCCCAUGGUAAAAUCUCAGGGAAGUGGUGUUUCUGGCCUUCUCAUUUCCCUGGAGGAGUCCUCAGCCAGUCCGCCAACCAUAAGAAUUCACUUCUGAAGAGAAGACGGCUCAUUUUAAGGAAGGAGAUUUUUCUAAAACCUAACAAAAUAAGAACUGUAAUUAUCAGCCAGAGACAGCAAAGCAUUGUGGAAAAUAUUAACUCCAGUAGUGAAUGUUCAGCCAUGUUACGAUGUAACAAACCAAGAUUCUAGAAAAGAAAAUCUUAGGCUAUGCUUUAGAGCUCAUUAGUGCCUAUGUUUUCUGUAAUUCAUUGCAUGAUAUGACAUCAAGAUAUAAUAUUGCUGCAACAGGCAAUGUUCCCUAAGAAGAGAGUUAUAAUGAGCAAGACACAAAUGCAUUGUAAUACAUACUUUCUAGGUUACAUGCUCUGGAGCGGUCAGCUAUGAAAAUCCAUAGUGGCCAUUCAGACUGAGCCCUUCCUUAUUACUGGUCCUAAAUGUCCAUUUAUAGAAAGGGAAACAUUUAUCUGUAGCUUGCAAAGGUGAGAGAAGCCAUUUCAGCUACACCUUCUCAUGGUAUCACAUUUCUUUAGUUUCCAGGGCAUAGAUGUGGUUGUCACUGAAAUUCUCAACAGUGGGGAUUUUACACAGAUAAUACAUUUAUCACAUCUAGCACUCACUGCAAGUCUCUAGAAAAUUUGACUUCAACUUGCAAAUACGUUCAAGCUGCCCUGACAUACCAUUUGUGGAAGCCCUUGCUGUUUUCCAGAAUAUUACAUGACGAUGCCAAGGAUGGCUACUUGGGGAGAGGUGAGGAUUCACCUUCAAAAAAAGGAUUGUUCCUGUUCUGGUGAAGGACUUGAGCGCCAAUGCAGCUCUAAGCAUGGGAGGAAGUUACAUGUGUUUCAUGAGAUGGCUCACCUUUAAAAUUAAAGUACUUAAUAACU
This is a long non-coding RNA of Numida meleagris (helmeted guineafowl), 10436 nucleotides long. RefSeq lists it as uncharacterized. The record is from RefSeq and is a predicted model, not a curated record. Lineage: Eukaryota; Metazoa; Chordata; Aves; Galliformes; Numididae. The transcript is spliced from 3 exons.